RNAcentral lists this unclassified non-coding RNA (2269 nucleotides) under Hevea brasiliensis (rubber tree). The record is from RNAcentral. Lineage: Eukaryota; Viridiplantae; Streptophyta; Magnoliopsida; Malpighiales; Euphorbiaceae.
GUGAUUCCAUUACGCACAUAAUAAUCUAAACACACUUGUUGACUACUGGUUCUUGGGAACCAUUUCAGGGCUUUGCACGUGAAGUAGAAAGUUUUUUAAUUAAGCAACAGACAAGAAUAUCAAAAUAAUCUGGCAAUGUUAAGAUGCCAUGCGAUCCAUCUUACUACAAGACAAGUCCAGAAUUAAAAAUGUGAUGUAAUAGCAUACUAACCUCCAAAUACUCGGAUGAAGUGCAAUGUGGAAAUCAACCCAUAAGCCUCUUCCCUGAAAACUUUGUGUUUUCAACAUGGAACACCAAUUUCUCUCCUUUCCAAUCUUUUUCAUCUUCUUCAUUUUCAUCCUCUUGGUAUUGAGAAUAAGGAAGAAAGCAAAAAUCAACAACUCAUCUCCAAAUCUACCACCAGGGCCGUGGAAAUUGCCCCUUAUAGGGAGUAUGCACCAUUUAGUUGGCUCCCUACCCCAUCACCGCCUGAGAGACUUGGCUAAAAAGUAUGGACCUCUUAUGCACCUUCAACUUGGUGAAGUUACCAACAUAGUUAUUUCUUCACCUGAAACUGCUAAAGAAGUGAUGAAAACCCAUGAUGUCAUAUUUGCUCAAAGGCCCUUUCUCCUCGCUGCAAGUAUUGUGGCUUAUGAUUUUUCAGACAUUGCAUUCGCUCCCUAUGGAAACUAUUGGAGACAAAUGAGAAAAAUUUGCACGCUGGAGCUGCUAACUGCGAAAAGAGUGCAGUCAUUUAGAUCAAUCAGGGAAGAAGAAAUAUCAAAACUCAUUAGAACCCUGUCUUCUGGUGCAGGAUCACCAAUCAACUUUAGCAGGAUGUUCAAUUCUUUGACCUACAGCGUCACCUCAAGAGCAGCCUUUGGUAAGAUAUGGAAGGCAGAAGAAAUCUUCAUACCAACAGUUAAGAAACUGAUACAAUUGGCUGGCGGUUUUAGUCUUGCUGAUAUCUACCCUUCCACCAAAUUGCUUCAUGUGAUUAGUACGGUGAGGCCUAAAUUAGAGAGGCUUCAUCAAAUAGCAGAUAAGAUACUUGAAAGCAUCAUCUAUGAACAUAGAGCUAGAAAGGCAGCAGCAAAAUCUGGGGCUGAUUAUGAAGAAGAAGAUUUUGUAGACGUUCUUCUGAAUCUUCAGGAUCGUGCAGGCCUUGAAUUCCCUUUAACAAAUGACAACAUAAAAGGAGUCAUCCUGGACAUGUUCAUUGCUGGUAGUGAGACAUCAUCAACAACCAUAGAAUGGGCAAUGUCAGAGAUGCUAAAAAAUCCAAGAGUGAUGGAAAAGGCACAAGUUGAGGUGAGGCAGGUCUUUGGUGUAGAAGGAAACAUUGAUGAAGAACGACUUCAUGAACUGAACUACUUAAAGAUGGUAAUCAAUGAAACUCUAAGAUUACACCCUCCUAUUCCAUUGUUACUUCCAAGAGAAUGUAGGGAGAAUUGUGUGAUUAACGGUUACGGCAUUCCUGUCAAAUCUAAAGUUAUUGUGAACACAUGGGCGAUUGGAAGGGAUCCCAAUUAUUGGAUUGAAGCUGAGAGAUUUUAUCCAGAAAGAUUUCUUAAUAGUUCAAUAGAUUAUAAGGGUACUAACUUUGAAUUUAUCCCAUUUGGUGCUGGAAGGAGGAUUUGUCCAGGAAUAUUGUUUGGCAUAGCUAAUGUUGAGCUUCCACUUGCACAGUUGCUGUACUAUUUUGAUUGGAAACUCCCUGCAGGGCUGAAGCCAGAAAAUCUUGACAUGGUUGAAGCUUUUGGUGCUGUUGUGAAAAGGAAAAAUGAUCUCCACUUAAUCCCCAUUCCACACUUUCCGCCACCUGUCGAUUAAAAUAUAUAUAUAUGUUAGUUUGAUAUCAGCCAACUAGUAAAUUGAUUGUGAUAUGACAACUCAAUUUCUCCUUUCAGAGAAUCAAGUGCAUUGUAGCUGAUAAAAAUUUGCCCAGCUAUUCCGAUUCAUUUAUGCCCAAUUGGGAUCUCAAAUAAUUUUUUUUGGAAUUUAUGGUUCAAGUGUACACAACUUUUUAGCUGUUAAAUAUGCUCUCAAGGCUCUGGCAUUGAAAAGCUACCUCUUGAACUACAAUCACAAACAUAUGGCAAGACAUUGGGUAAUAGCAUUAUUUAGGUGAAUUAUAAAUGAGAUUUGAGAACUUGGGAAGACAUGGCUGGGAUUAGAAACUUUUCUUCCUGUCCAUGUUCAAAAGCAAGUUUAUCAAUUAUAUCUGUUAAAAAAAUUGCAGCCUACUAUAUGGGUUUGAGCUAUUAGCAUCAGCAAUGACAAGAAAAG